UUCCGGUUGAUCCUGCCGGACCUGACUGCUAUCGGAUUGAUACUAAGCCAUGCGAGUUUUUGUAGCAAUACAAGGCAUACGGCUCAGUAACACGUAGUCAAUCUAACCUAUGGACGAGAAUAACCUCGGGAAACUGAGAAUAAUACUCGAUAGAUCAUUAUGCCUGGAACGGUUUAUGGUUAAAAUGAAUUUCGCCAUAGGAUGGGACUGCGGUCUAUCAGCUUGUUGGUGAUGUAAUGGACCACCAAGGCUAUAACAGAUACGGGCUCUGAGAGGAGAAGCCCGGAGAUGGGUACUGAAACACGGACCCAGGCCCUAUGGGGCGCAGCAGGCGAGAAAACUUUGCAAUGUGCGAAAGCACGACAAGGUUAAUCCGAGUGAUUCCUGCUAAAGGAAUCUUUUGUUUGUCAUAAAACCACUAAUGAAUAAGGGGUGGGCAAGUUCUGGUGUCAGCCGCCGCGGUAAAACCAGCACCUCAAGUGGUCAGGAUGAUUAUUGGGCCUAAAGCAUCCGUAGCCGGCUCUGUAAGUUUUCGGUUAAAUCCAUAUGCUCAACAUAUGGGCCGCCGGGAAUACUGCAUAGCUAGGGAGUGGGAGAGGUAGACGGUACUCCGUAGGAAGGGGUAAAAUCCUUUGAUCUAUGGAUGACCACCUGUGGCGAAGGCGGUCUACCAGAACACGUUCGACGGUGAGGGAUGAAAGCUGGGGGAGCAAACCGGAUUAGAUACCCGGGUAGUCCCAGCUGUAAACUAUGCAAACUCAGUGAUGCAUUGGCUUGUGGCCAGUGCAGUGCCGCAGAGAAGUCGUUAAGUUUGCCGCCUGGGAAGUACGUACGCAAGUAUGAAACUUAAAGGAAUUGGCGGGGGAGCACCACAAGGGGUGAAGCCUGCGGUUCAAUUGGAGUCAACGCCGG
This 912-nucleotide ribosomal RNA is filed under the name uncultured archaeon. Its description in RNAcentral is "bacterial SSU rRNA". It matches the Rfam family "Archaeal small subunit ribosomal RNA", at positions 1 to 921 of the family's 1478-position model. The record is from RNAcentral.